AUACGUAGGGUGCAAGCGUUAAUCGGAAUUACUGGGCGUAAAGCGUGCGCAGGCGGUUUUGCUAAACAGUGUUGAAAUCACCCGGCUCAACCUGGGAACUGCCAUUGGAGCUGUGAGGCUGGGGGGCGGGAGCGGGGGAUGGUAUUCAGCGUGUGGCCGUGAGAUGCGUAGAUAUGCGGAGGAACACCGAUGGCGAAGGCAAUCCCCUGGGCCUGCACUGACGCUCAUGCACGAAAGCGUGGGGAGCAAACAGGAUUAGAUACCCUGGUAGUCCACGCCCUAAACGAUGUCAACUGGUUGUUGGGGAUUUAUUUUCUCAGUAACGAAGCUAACGCGUGAAGUUGACCGCCUGGGGAGUACGGCCGCAAGGUUAAAACUCAAAUGAAUUGACGGGG
This 395-nucleotide ribosomal RNA is filed under the name uncultured bacterium. Its description in RNAcentral is "partial 16S ribosomal RNA". It matches the Rfam family "Bacterial small subunit ribosomal RNA", at positions 523 to 918 of the family's 1533-position model. The record is from RNAcentral.